Molecule: ribosomal RNA, 762 nt
Filed under: uncultured Lactobacillus sp.
Lineage: Bacteria; Bacillati; Bacillota; Bacilli; Lactobacillales; Lactobacillaceae
Description: bacterial SSU rRNA
Rfam family: Bacterial small subunit ribosomal RNA
Source: RNAcentral
CUGUACUGACGCUGAGCUCGAAAGUAUGGGUAGCAAACAGGAUUAGAUACCUGGUAGUCCAUACCGUAAACGAUGAAUGCUAAGUGUUGGAGGGUUUCCCCUUUCAGUGCUGCAGCUAACGCAUUAAGCAUUCCGCUGGGGAGUACGGCCGCAAGGCUGAAACUCAAAGGAAUUGACGGGGGCCCGCACAGCGGUGGAGCAUGUGGUUUAAUUCGAAGCUACGCGAAGAACCUUACCAGGUCUUGACAUACUAUGCAAAUCUAAGAGAUUAGACGUUCCCUUCGGGGACAUGGAUACAGGUGGUGCAUGGUUGUCGUCAGCUCGUGUCAUGAGAUGUUGGGUUAAGUCCCGCAACGAGCGCAACCCUUAUUAUCAGUUGCCAGCAUUAAGUUGGGCACUCUGGUGAGACUGCCGGUGACAAACCGGAGGAAGGUGGGGAUGACGUCAAAUCAUCAUGCCCCUUAUGACCUGGGCUACACACGUGCUACAAUGGAUGGUACAACGAGUUGCGAACUCGCGAGAGUAAGCUAAUCUCUUAAAGCCAUUCUCAGUUCGGAUUGUAGGCUGCAACUCGCCUACAUGAAGUCGGAAUCGCUAGUAAUCGCGGAUCAGCAUGCCGCGGUGAAUACGUUCCCGGGCCUUGUACACACCGCCCGUCACACCAUGAGAGUUUGUAACACCCAAAGUCGGUGGGGUAACCUUUAGGAACCAGCCGCCUAAGGUGGGACAGAUGAUUAGGGUGAAGUCGUAACAAGGUAACCA